CCACUGGCGCCACACACAAACCACAAGCGACGCCCAGGCAUCGGACGGGAAGAGGAGUUAGCACCACAAAAAUACCAAGAACCAGGAGGAGGACAUACACAUCCAUCAAGAUGGGAGCACGUUCCCUGUGGCAGCUUUGCCGACGGAGCUGGCGGAGGUGUGGCACCAGUCAGCGGCUCCAGAUACCCGUGGCCUGGAGCGUGGAGUUGGCCUGCUAUCGCCGAUAUCAGCGUAUUCUUUAGACAAAUUCGGACUAUAUCUAUAUCUCCAACAAUGAACCUAAAGAAUAUCAUAGCAACAUCAUAUCAAUCCAUAUCGAUUUACGAGUACACACUAUGAAUAUCAAAUUGUUUUUAUAACUACGACGGCAUUGUUUUGAAUCUUAGUUGGAAAAUAAUGUGAUUAUUUUGUUAUCAAUAAAAGAAAUUAGUUGUAAAUGAAA
RNAcentral lists this long non-coding RNA (442 nucleotides) under Drosophila guanche. Lineage: Eukaryota; Metazoa; Arthropoda; Insecta; Diptera; Drosophilidae. The record is from RNAcentral.